This 207-nucleotide long non-coding RNA is filed under the name Prunus dulcis (almond). Its description in RNAcentral is "sRNA ncRNA". Lineage: Eukaryota; Viridiplantae; Streptophyta; Magnoliopsida; Rosales; Rosaceae. The record is from RNAcentral.
GAGCAGCUUGUGCGGCUCCAAGCUCAUCUUCUUCCUCCAAUCCUUUCAGUGCUCUAGGCUACGCUCUUAUCUGUUCCUCUUCCAAGACUUAGGUUCAUCGUCGUCCUCGUCGCUUCUUUCACUUUCAAUUUCUCUUCUCCAUUUCGAAUUUUCAAGUGGCCUCAACGGCGUCAUUUUCUCAGACUUUCGUUUGAUUCACGAGCAGGA